This is a small nucleolar RNA of Marmota marmota marmota (Alpine marmot), 126 nucleotides long. Its record names the gene SNORD22. It matches the Rfam family "Small nucleolar RNA SNORD22". From Rfam's summary of the family: U22 is a member of the C/D class of snoRNA which contain the C (UGAUGA) and D (CUGA) box motifs. U22 is encoded within the U22 snoRNA host gene (UHG) in mammals and has also been identified in Xenopus. Lineage: Eukaryota; Metazoa; Chordata; Mammalia; Rodentia; Sciuridae. The record is from Ensembl.
UGCCAGUAAGAACAAACAUCUUGUCUUAACUCCCUGCUCUAGCCCCAGAACGAGUAAUGGUGAACCCACUGGUGUAGCUGGGAGAGAGGAAGGAAACUUGGUUCCAUGAGGAACUACAUGAGGUCC